GCAGUGGUGGUUCAGUGGUAGAAUUCUCGUCUUCCCUAUGGGAGACCUGGGUUUGAUUCCUGGCCAAUGUA
Molecule: transfer RNA, 71 nt
Filed under: Loxodonta africana (African savanna elephant)
Lineage: Eukaryota; Metazoa; Chordata; Mammalia; Proboscidea; Elephantidae
Rfam family: tRNA
About the family: Transfer RNA (tRNA) molecules are approximately 80 nucleotides in length. Their secondary structure includes four short double-helical elements and three loops (D, anti-codon, and T loops). Further hydrogen bonds mediate the characteristic L-shaped molecular structure. tRNAs have two regions of fundamental functional importance: the anti-codon, which is responsible for specific mRNA codon recognition, and the 3' end, to which the tRNAs corresponding amino acid is attached (by aminoacyl-tRNA synthetases). tRNAs cope with the degeneracy of the genetic code in two manners: having more than one tRNA (with a specific anti-codon) for a particular amino acid; and 'wobble' base-pairing, i.e. permitting non-standard base-pairing at the 3rd anti-codon position.
Source: Rfam by way of RNAcentral